GCAAGCAUGUAAGUGACUUACAUUAGGGUAAUGAUUACUAAAUGAUUCACUCACUGGAACACUAUUCAACAAUUAAGAAGAAAAAGAUGACCACUAUGGCCCACAAUGGAGAAUUGCUUGUGAAAAUUGAGAAGCCAAAGGGGCACGGUACAAAAAUUAGACCCGUGCCCGGAUACUCAGCAAACAUAUGACUUGCCCUGGAAGCACGGGAAGGAAAGAUGGGCAAAUAAAAACAGUGUGAGUAUUACCGUGGUUUUUAUUUUCAUUUACAAUUCUGCCUAAUGUUUCCAUUGUAUUGCUUGUCUAUAAUAGUUGAAAAGUCAGCCUUAAAGUUCCCCUCAGGGAAAAGGAAGACAGCAGAACUAGAGAUCUGGGAUCUUCUACUGGGUUCUAGGUAACUAACUAUGCAUGCCGGUACAUAUAGUAUUUAUAUGAGGUACAGUGUAAAUUCUGUUUAAAGAAAUCAAAGAGUUCACUCAAUGGAGCAAUUGACGCCCAGAGUUUAGGAAGACUCAAUAUUGUCACCAAGUCAGUUCUGUUUUAGUUAGGGGUUUUGGUCCCAUAUAGCCCAUGCCAUCAUCCAAAAUGCUAUGUUGCUGAAGCUGAGCUUGAACUCAUGAGGUCCCUGGCUUCAUUUCCUUUGAGUGCAAGGACUUCGGGUGUUGGAUACCUGCCAGGCUUAUUCCACACUGGGGAUUACAUCAGUGUAUUCGAGUCAAGCCUCUAAUACCUGAGCUCCAUCCUCAGCAUAUCCACAGAAUUGUAACAGUGGUAAAUCGUCAUUCUCUCAGUGUUGGAUAUAGAACUCACGGCUGCCACAUGCUAGGCAAGCACUCUACCAUUGAGCCGCAAGACCACACCCAGCCUAGCAACGUUCAUCUCCCAUGCCUAGCUGCUCCUCUGUCCACCAUCAGCUCCACUCUGGGACCAGACUACCAUGGCAGUCUUUCUGUGUGCACAGGGCAGGUCCCUGUGCCAGAGGGACACACAGACAAUGAUCUACCCAUUACUUCUUACAACUGGGGCUAGGCUCAUCUCAUGCUCCUUCUUGGGUUUCUAGGAUCUCACCGACUCCAAGCAGUAGUAGCCAACACUGAGCAGUUAUACAACUCAGUCCUUUCACUCUGCGGCUUUCUUUGCUGAAUCAAGCAAAAGAGAAUGCAUUUCUGUUCCAGGAAAUGGAUGGCGCCACAGAAAAGGGCCAGAGUAAAAUGGAUCUUUAUCAUUAGAGCUGCUCAAAGAUGGGGUGCUUGAGUGUUGUAUCUGCAAGUACACUAUCUGCAGAUUCAAUAAAUUCCCCAUGGAGAAUUUCCAGGGGAAAACCGUU
Molecule: non-coding RNA, 1327 nt
Organism: Cricetulus griseus (Chinese hamster)
Lineage: Eukaryota; Metazoa; Chordata; Mammalia; Rodentia; Cricetidae
Source: RefSeq, a predicted model, not a curated record